GGGGGCGACCUGGUUUCGACGGGGGCAAAGACGUUCUGCGACGCGUGUCGAGCCGGUUCCGGGGCUCGUAAAAAUCUGGGGCAAAACCAAAAAAAGCCAACGACAACGUUGAGCUUGCUCUCGCGGCCUAGCGGCUGCUGAGCACGGCCCCCACGCUUCCGCCCAUGAGCGUGGACCAGGGCCGCCAUCAGUGGGCUGGCCUGCCGGUAUCUCCGGGCUGGUGGGCGAGACAAACGGAGAUCGGUCCCGGCGUAUCCCGUCCGUGGGAGACGUCGAGGACCUAAAAAAUUCGCGGACUACACACGUAGGGUCGUAGAGCAGAAGGCUUCCGGACGAGGGUUCGAUUCCCUCCGCCUCCACAG
Molecule: transfer-messenger RNA, 362 nt
Filed under: Myxococcaceae
Lineage: Bacteria; Pseudomonadati; Myxococcota; Myxococcia; Myxococcales
Also listed under: 1 other name
Description: JAIBBQ01 sp019694595 Standard tmRNA
Rfam family: transfer-messenger RNA
About the family: Bacterial tmRNA, also known as 10Sa RNA or SsrA, is named for its dual tRNA and mRNA-like properties. Its role is to liberate the mRNA from a stalled ribosome.
Source: RNAcentral